Molecule: transfer RNA, 99 nt
Filed under: Hypoxylon rubiginosum
Lineage: Eukaryota; Fungi; Ascomycota; Sordariomycetes; Xylariales; Hypoxylaceae
Description: tRNA-His
Rfam family: tRNA
About the family: Transfer RNA (tRNA) molecules are approximately 80 nucleotides in length.
Source: RNAcentral
GGUGCUAUCGUCUAGUGGUAGGACAACACAUUGUGGUCUACGAGCUCCUUGCUUAGUAAUACAUCUGUGUAAACAAUGGUUCGAUCCCGUCUGGCGCCA